This 399-nucleotide ribosomal RNA is filed under the name uncultured bacterium. Its description in RNAcentral is "partial 16S ribosomal RNA". It matches the Rfam family "Bacterial small subunit ribosomal RNA", at positions 338 to 754 of the family's 1533-position model. The record is from RNAcentral.
CCUACGGGAGGCAGCAGUGGGGGAUAUUGCACAAUGGGGGGAACCCUGAUGCAGCGACGCCGCGUGAGCGAGGGAGGACUGCGGUAUGUAAAGCUCUGUCAGCAGGGAAGAAAAGGACGGUACCUGACCAAGAAGCCCCGGCGAAAUACGGGCCAGCAGCCGCGGUAAUACGUAUGGGGCAAGCGUUAUCCGGAUUUACUGGGUGUAAAGGGAGCGUAGGCGGCAGGGCAAGCCUGAUGUGAAAGCCCGGGGCUCAACCCCGGGACUGCCUUCGGAACUGCCCUGCUGGAGUGCCGGAGGGGCAGGCGGAAUUCCUCGUGUAGCGGUGACAUGCGUAGCUCUUAGGCGGAACACCAGUGGCGAAGGCGGCCUGCUGGACGGUGACUGCCGCUGAGGCUC